RNAcentral lists this ribosomal RNA (446 nucleotides) under uncultured bacterium. RNAcentral's name for it is "partial 16S ribosomal RNA". It matches the Rfam family "Bacterial small subunit ribosomal RNA", at positions 338 to 795 of the family's 1533-position model. The record is from RNAcentral.
CCUACGGGAGGCUGCAGUCGAGAAUCAUUCACAAUGGUGGAAACCCUGAUGGUGCGACGCCGCGUGGGGGAAUGAAGGUCUUCGGAUUGUAAACCCCUUUCAUGUGGGAGCAAAUUAAAAAGAUAGUACCACAAGAGAGAGAGACGGCUAACUCGGUGCGAGCAGCCGCGGUAAUACAGAGGUCUCAAGCGUGGUUCGGAAUCACUGGGCGUAAAGCGUUCGUAGGCUGUUUCGUAAGUCGUGUGUGAAAGGCGCGGGCUCAACCCGCGGACGGCACAUGAUACUGGGAGACUAGAGUAAUGGAGGGGGAACCGGAAUUCGUGGUGUAGCAGUGAAAUGCGUAGAUAUCGAGAGGAACACUCGUGGCGAAGGCGGGUUCCUGGACAUCAACUGACGCUGAGGCACGAAGGCCAGGGGAGCGAAAGGGAUUAGAUACCCUUGUAGUC